AUUGAACGCUGGCGGCAUGCCUUACACAUGCAAGUCGCACGGCAGCACGGGAGCAAUCCUGGUGGCGAGUGGCGAACGGGUGAGUAAAGUAUCGGAACGUGCCCAGUCGCGGGGGAUAACGUAGCGAAAGUUACGCUAAUACCGCAUACGCACUAUGGAUGAAAGCGGGGGAUCGCAAGACAUCGCGCGAUUGGAGCGGCAGAUAUCAGAUUAGGUAGUUGGUGGGGUAAAGGCUCACCAAGCCGACGAUCUGUAGCUGGUCUGAGAGGACGACCAGCCACACUGGGACUGAGACACGGCCCAGACUCCUACGGGAGGCAGCAGUGGGGAAUUUUGGACAAUGGGCGAAAGCCUGAUCCAGCCAUGCCGCGUGCAGGAUGAAGGCCUUCGGGUUGUAAACUGCUUUUGUACGGAACGAAAAGGUUUGGCCUAAUAAGCUGAGCUCAUGACGGUACCGUAAGAAUAAGCACCGGCUAACUACGUGCCAGCAGCCGCCGCAG
Molecule: ribosomal RNA, 500 nt
Filed under: uncultured bacterium
Lineage: Bacteria
Description: partial 16S ribosomal RNA
Rfam family: Bacterial small subunit ribosomal RNA
Source: RNAcentral